GGAAUGUAGCUCAGUGAUAGAGUAAUUGCCUCACACCUGAGAGGUACUGGGUUCGAUCCUCAGCACCA
Molecule: transfer RNA, 68 nt
Filed under: Marmota monax (woodchuck)
Lineage: Eukaryota; Metazoa; Chordata; Mammalia; Rodentia; Sciuridae
Description: tRNA.Val
Source: RNAcentral